Molecule: long non-coding RNA, 2985 nt
Organism: Hypanus sabinus (Atlantic stingray)
Lineage: Eukaryota; Metazoa; Chordata; Chondrichthyes; Myliobatiformes; Dasyatidae
Exons: 5
Source: RefSeq, a predicted model, not a curated record
GUUAAUUAAGAUCAAAGUCCAUCUCCACUCUCGCGGUGCUAGAGUUGUCGGUUUAUUUUCUACAUUUUCAGCCAUUCAGGCUUUACAGGAACGAUUGAAACCAUUCUGCAACAAACGGUGGUCCAUUGUUACUGACGAAGUGUUCUGAAACAUCAGUCUUUGAGACGAGGCUCCUCAACACAUCCUACAGGUGUGAGGCUGCAGUGGAGCCUCUUGUAAUCCUGUGCAUUGGAGGCUCUGUACCAGGCAGUGAUGUAACCAGUCAGAAUAUUCCACAGUCUUUUUCCUGUGAGUCAGGAGAAUUUGAAGAGAAUAUGUGCACAGUAAAGAACCCUGUGAACCUCCAGUGGACCCUCUGCAAUGCCAGCACAUCAUGAAACUGAUCCCAAUACUCCAAGCACUCUGAACACCCGAGCAACACUGCAAUGAAGAGUCCUGACAGCAAAUAACAAACUAAAAGAGCAAAGUGUCUUUCAUUUGAAAGGAUCCCCAGGGCACAUCAGGAGCAUGGGCUAACUUCCAACGCGUCGAGCAUUCUAUUGGACACAUGAAUCUGCAUGAGGUAGUUUUGUACUUGGAUGAUCUCAGAGUGUUUGGGUCAACACUGGAGGAGCAUGAGACGAGACCACUGAAGAUGUCAGACCACUUGAAAGCUGAAGGUUUCAAAGAAGUGCCAGUUCUGUAAGACGUCAGCCAACUAUGUAGGACACAGACCGUUCUAAGAUAGAGGUAGUAACCACAUUGCCAAGACCCAAGACUGUGGGUGUGCCUCCCAAGAAGAAAGCACAGUGAUCAGGGAAUGGAUUUUGAAAGCCACCUCAUACAUGAGUUACUGACCGUACUUAGAGUUGAGAAGUCAAGUACAACGUCAAGGACAAUGUUAUAUCAAGGCAAUCCUCAUCUUGAGAGAUUUAACAGGACAUUGUUAGACAUAGUAGAACUCUUGAUACCAAGAAAAAGAGCAAAUGAAGUCAGUAUAGUGGAAAUCGUGUGCAUGGCUACAACCAAACUCAGAACGAAGACACUGGCUACUCGCCAUAUUAUUAAUGUUCGGGUGCAAAGCCAAAUUACGUGGAUCUUUGUUUUGGAACCUCAGGCUCAGAAGCAAAAUUUGCAGUUUGUUUUUGGUUGAACCCAGAAGAUGGAAAUGGUCCGUUAAAAAUUCUCCAUCAGAACCAUCUUUUACUUCUAGGGCAGGGAGAACAUAUUGACCCAGAGUCUGAUCUAGAACCUACACCUGGUAAAAGAUCUCAGCAAAGGAGAAGAAAAAAAGGAAAGAAACAAGCUGAAGACACUAGGAUGGUUUUGGUGGAAUGGCAUGAAGAAGAAAUUAUAAAAGAUAAACUGGACGAAUCCUUUCAACACUGUACAGACUCAGAAGGUAAGGAAAUUGGAAUGUGGCAUGACCCCCAAGAGGAAGCCCCCUAAGAGGAACUGAUUAAAAGAUUUCAGAACCCCUCAGUCUAGACCUAGUGGGAAUGCACUGGAAAAGCAGAGGUGAUAUUAGAUAGUAAGUGAAACAGACUCCAAUAUAAUAGAAGGUGAAGCCAGGACUACUCAGAGGGCAGGAGAAACUGAGUUUUGCAGUAAGAAACUGAUAGUAUACAGGAUGGAACAUCUCAAAGUAAGCAUGAAAAGUCACUAGAAAAGAUUCAGACUAAUGAAGCAGUGACUGAGAAUCAACUAUUAAAGGAAGAUGAAAGUGAAGCUGAGAUAAGAAGGUCUCAGAGUUGGGAAACUGCCAGAUACGCUGGCAUGCGUCACAUCUGGAAAUCAGAGUGUUGAGUGAAUGCCAAUAGUGAAAUAUGUUACUUCCAUUUACAAAUGGAUUGGAUGUCCUGUUAUCACUUCAUUCAUUUGAUUGCUGUGAGCCGUAUGCCUGAAUACUAUCAGAACAUAAAGGUAAACAUAAUUGUUACUGUUAUUGGGUAUAAGUGUUGUGUUAGUAUUAAUGUUUACUAUGUUCCAAAGGUUUACAAAGUCAUGAGGAUGUGCCUAUUUUAGAAGGGGGAGAAUGUAAUAUCCUGGUUAAAAACCGUGCUUUAUUUUAUCAAUACAGUUAUGUUUUUCAGCAUCUUAUUUUGCAAAUCUCCUCAAAAUGCAAAUCUAUUAAAAAGUGUUCCUCUUAUUACAUUAUAGAUUUUAUAAUAUACAUUUUCUCUUGGGUGUUUCAUUUUGAUGUUUAAUAUAAAAAUUCAGUUGAUUAAUAAGUUCGGGUUGUUGAAUUAACCAAUAGAAUUUGUGUUGUUAACACUUUGCCCAAUAAGAUGCCUGGGAAAAGAACAAAAAAGUUUCAAGAAAGAUGGAGAGAAGAAACAGACAACAAACAUAGUGGAACACUUGCAGAAGCAAAUUUGGAAGGACCAUUACAGAUGUCCGGAAAGCCUCAUGCAGACUAUAGUCUCACAGAGAAUGUGUAGAUAACCUUCAGUUAAAAAGCUAGCACCCAACAAUCAUAGAAAGAGCAAGAGGAGACAGUUUGAACAUCUUUCCAUGGAUGUCUGAAAAUGUAUUAAUUUUUAUUUUUGUUUGGAUUGGUUCUUUGGCACAGAAACAUUUCAGUACCGUGAGUAAAUGAAGUGAAGCAAACUAGACUGAUUACAUGGGAAUGAGCUUCAAUGAUUACAUGCACACUCUAGACCAGGCAUGGGCAAACUACGGCCCGGGGGCCAUAUGCGGCCCGUUAAGCUUUUUAAUCCGGCCCGCAGAACUUGAUGAAAUUAUAUUAAUAAGCCUUGUUAACAUUUUCCCCCUGCAAUUCUGGCAUUUUCCCAAUAGAUGAUGCACUCUAUAUACAUUUGUGGCGACCCAAUUCCUGGCACAUCCAAACCGGCUCACAAUUAGCCAGCGUUCCAGCUAAGGGAGAUAGCCUGCGGGGAUUUGUGAGCAAAGAGCUUUGGAGCCUCUGCGCCACGGGGGGCAGGUUGAGGGAGGCUUAAAAGUGAGGCUGGGGAUUUCGAAUAAAGUUUUUUUUCUUCAACUGCA